This 329-nucleotide ribosomal RNA is filed under the name uncultured eukaryote. RNAcentral's name for it is "partial 18S ribosomal RNA". It matches the Rfam family "Eukaryotic small subunit ribosomal RNA", at positions 1470 to 1796 of the family's 1831-position model. The record is from RNAcentral.
CCCUUAGAUGUCCUGGGCCGCACGCGCGCUACACUGAGUGUCUGAGAUACGAGUCUGCCUGGUCCGGCAAGGUCUAGGUAAUCGCUAAAAGACACAUCAUGCUUGGGAUAGAUUAUUGCAAAUAUUAAUCUUGAACGAGGAAUUCCUAGUAAGCGCAAGUCAACAGCUUGCGUGGAUUACGUCCCUGCCCUUUGUACACACCGCCCGUCGCUACUACUGAUUGGAUGUUUAAGCGAGGUUCUCGAACUGCUAGCGACUUAGCUUCGGUGAGGUCGCAGUGUGGGAAGUGAACCUAGCUUUGGUGUCUAGAGGAAGUAAAAGUCGUAACA